This 417-nucleotide ribosomal RNA is filed under the name uncultured bacterium. RNAcentral describes it as "bacterial SSU rRNA". It matches the Rfam family "Bacterial small subunit ribosomal RNA", at positions 58 to 521 of the family's 1533-position model. The record is from RNAcentral.
CAAGUCGAACGGAUCCUUCGGGAUUACUGUCGUACCGAUGAGUAACACGUGGAAUCGUGCCCUUUAGUUCGUAACGACUCGGGGAAUCUUGAGCUAAUACCCGAUGUGCCCUUCCGGGGAAUCAUUUAUCGCCAUUGGAGCAUCCCUCGUCUGAUUACCCAAUUGGUGAGGUAAAGGCUCAACUAGGCGACUAUCGGUAUCUGGUCUGACAGGAUGAUCAAUCACAUUGUGACUGAAACACAGCACAAACUCCUACGGGAGGCAGCAGUGGGGAAUCUUGCUCAAUGAGCGAAAGCCUGACACAUCCAUGCCGCGUGAAUGAUGAAGGUCUUACGAUUGUACAAGUCUUUCAACAGGGACGAUAAUGACGGUACCUGCUGAACAAGCCCCGGCUAACUUCGUGCCUACAGCCGCGGU